RNAcentral lists this ribosomal RNA (465 nucleotides) under Vreelandella stevensii. RNAcentral describes it as "partial 16S ribosomal RNA". It matches the Rfam family "Bacterial small subunit ribosomal RNA", at positions 338 to 795 of the family's 1533-position model. Lineage: Bacteria; Pseudomonadati; Pseudomonadota; Gammaproteobacteria; Oceanospirillales; Halomonadaceae. The record is from RNAcentral.
CCUACGGGGGGCAGCAGUGGGGAAUAUUGGACAAUGGGCGAAAGCCUGAUCCAGCCAUGCCGCGUGUGUGAAGAAGGCCUUCGGGUUGUAAAGCACUUUCAGUGGGGAAGAAAGCCUUGGGGCUAAUACCCUCGAGGAAGGACAUCACCCACAGAAGAAGCACCGGCUAACUCCGUGCCAGCAGCCGCGGUAAUACGGAGGGUGCGAGCGUUAAUCGGAAUUACUGGGCGUGAAGCGCGCGUAGGCGGUCUGAUAAGCCGGUUGUGAAAGCCCCGGGCUCAACCUGGGAACGGCAUCCGGAACUGUCAGGCUAGAGUGCAGGAGAGGAAGGUAGAAUUCCCGGUGUAGCGGUGAAAUGCGUAGAGAUCGGGAGGAAUACCAGUGGCGAAGGCGGCCUUCUGGACUGACACUGACGCUGAGGUGCGAAAGCGUGGGUAGCAAACAGGAUUAGAUACCCUAGUAGUC